This 434-nucleotide ribosomal RNA is filed under the name uncultured Clostridium sp. RNAcentral's name for it is "partial 16S ribosomal RNA". It matches the Rfam family "Bacterial small subunit ribosomal RNA", at positions 341 to 792 of the family's 1533-position model. Lineage: Bacteria; Bacillati; Bacillota; Clostridia; Eubacteriales; Clostridiaceae. The record is from RNAcentral.
ACGGGAGGCAGCAGUGGGGAAUAUUGCACAAUGGGGGAAACCCUGAUGCAGCGACGCCGCGUGAGUGAAGAAGUAUUUCGGUAUGUAAAGCUCUAUCAGCAGGGAAGAAAAUGACGGUACCUGACUAAGAAGCCCCGGCUAACUACGUGCCAGCAGCCGCGGUAAUACGUAGGUGGCAAGCGUUAUCCGGAUUUACUGGGUGUAAAGGGCGCGUAGGCGGGGAUGCAAGUCAGGUGUGAAAUCUAUGGGCUUAACCCAUAAACUGCAUUUGAAACUGUAUCUCUUGAGUGUCGGAGAGGUAGAUGGAAUUCCUAGUGUAGCGGUGAAAUGCGUAGAUAUUAGGAGGAACACCAGUGGCGAAGGCGAUCUACUGGACGAUAACUGACGCUGAGGCGCGAAAGCGUGGGGAGCAAACAGGAUUAGAUACCCUGGUA